AGGUUUAGUCGGGAAGGUGCAGCUUCAUUUGGUCUUCAUCAAGCGUAACCAGGAGUUGCAUUUAGAGUCUGUCCUAAUUUGAUUAACCUCUUCCUGGAUUCCUGGAUCGUCCUCCCGUGCCACUGAUCUCACCUGGCGCUUCUUGGAUUGUCUCAUUGUAUCAUCGCUCUGAAUCCCUACUCGUUUGUCCACUCUCCACUGCCUUCCCUGCCGCUUCUUUUCCUGGAAACACCAACAAGUAACCAAUAUUGACAGAACUACUCACCUGCUUUCAACCAAUCUCAGCUUUAGUGGAAAUACAUACCAUCGUCAUGAUCAGCAGCAAGCCCAGCUCUUACUCUCCCUCAGCCUGCACAUCUUCCAUUAUUCUACACACCCAUAUUAAUCAUUUACCUUUUCCCCCAAUGUGGACCCAGCUGGUUUCCCUUUCCUGCCACCGUUUCCACAGCUAGAUCCUGUUAUGCUCAUAAUAAACUCUUUUCACUUACCUCAUCCGUGUCCGUAUUUGUCGUCUGCACCAGAGUCAAACUGCCCAAACAUGACAGUUCUGUCUCUGUUAUCUGUAUAGUCUACUGGAUGAAUAACAGUGUGCAUGUUGCCUUUGAUGCAUAGCUGUAUGCAGUAUGUUAAUUCACAAAGGUCAACUUCAAGUUCACUUAA
This is a long non-coding RNA of Xiphophorus maculatus (southern platyfish), 660 nucleotides long. RefSeq lists it as uncharacterized. Lineage: Eukaryota; Metazoa; Chordata; Actinopteri; Cyprinodontiformes; Poeciliidae. The record is from RefSeq and is a predicted model, not a curated record. The transcript is spliced from 3 exons.